CUUUGCAGCCUCAUCAAUGUUCCUGGCUGGGCCCUGGCAUGCGGAUAGCAGCUCCAUUGCUCUCUGGAUAUCCUGCAACUUCUGCAUUGGAACACUGGGAUUCUACGACAGCAAAGACAGACACAGAAUAUGAGAGAGCGGCUGCUGAUGUUAAACUUGAGCAGACGCACGUGCAUCUGCCUCAGAGACUACAAUACCUAAACACUAACAAUCCUCCUCCAAGCCCAGUCAAGGCCAUGGGCUUGUGUGUUACACAUGAAAAUAGAAGCAAACCCUCUGUUAAAGAGACAAACUCUCCCACCAGAAGGACAAGCAAUUUCCUCUGUACUUCAGAUC
RNAcentral lists this long non-coding RNA (336 nucleotides) under Homo sapiens (human). RNAcentral's name for it is "HSALNT0356580". Lineage: Eukaryota; Metazoa; Chordata; Mammalia; Primates; Hominidae. The record is from RNAcentral.